This 840-nucleotide ribosomal RNA is filed under the name Janibacter sp. RNAcentral describes it as "bacterial SSU rRNA". It matches the Rfam family "Bacterial small subunit ribosomal RNA", at positions 18 to 866 of the family's 1533-position model. The record is from RNAcentral. Lineage: Bacteria; Bacillati; Actinomycetota; Actinomycetes; Micrococcales; Intrasporangiaceae.
UAUGGCUCAGGACGAACGCUGGCGGCGUGCUUAACACAUGCAAGUCGAACGGUGAACCUUGGAGCUUGCUUCGAGGGGAUCAGUGGCGAACGGGUGAGUAACACGUGAGUAACCUGCCCCGGACUCUGGAAUAAGCGCUGGAAACGGCGUCUAAUACCGGAUACGAGACGCAACCGCAUGGUUAGUGUCUGGAAAGUUUUUCGGUCUGGGAUGGACUCGCGGCCUAUCAGCUUGUUGGUGAGGUAAUGGCUCACCAAGGCGACGACGGGUAGCCGGCCUGAGAGGGCGACCGGCCACACUGGGACUGAGACACGGCCCAGACUCCUACGGGAGGCAGCAGUGGGGAAUAUUGCACAAUGGGCGAAAGCCUGAUGCAGCGACGCCGCGUGAGGGAUGACGGCCUUCGGGUUGUAAACCUCUUUCAGCAGGGAAGAAGCGAAAGUGACGGUACCUGCAGAAGAAGCACCGGCUAACUACGUGCCAGCAGCCGCGGUAAUACGUAGGGUGCGAGCGUUGUCCGGAAUUAUUGGGCGUAAAGAGCUUGUAGGCGGUUUGUCGCGUCUGCUGUGAAAAUCCGGGGCUCAACCCCGGACUUGCAGUGGGUACGGGCAGACUAGAGUGUGGUAGGGGAGACUGGAAUUCCUGGUGUAGCGGUGAAAUGCGCAGAUAUCAGGAGGAACACCGAUGGCGAAGGCAGGUCUCUGGGCCACUACUGACGCUGAGAAGCGAAAGCAUGGGGAGCGAACAGGAUUAGAUACCCUGGUAGUCCAUGCCGUAAACGUUGGGCGCUAGGUGUGGGACUCAUUCCACGAGUUCCGUGCCGCAGCUAACGCAUAAGCG